CAUGCAGUCGUACGCUUCUUUUUCCACCGGAGCUUGCUCCACCGGAAAAAGAGGAGUGGCGAACGGGUGAGUAACACGUGGGUAACCUGCCCAUCAGAAGGGGAUAACACUUGGAAACAGGUGCUAAUACCGUAUAACAAUCGAAACCGCAUGGUUUUGAUUUGAAAGGCGCUUUCGGGUGUCGCUGAUGGAUGGACCCGCGGUGCAUUAGCUAGUUGGUGAGGUAACGGCUCACCAAGGCCACGAUGCAUAGCCGACCUGAGAGGGUGAUCGGCCACAUUGGGACUGAGACACGGCCCAAACUCCUACGGGAGGCAGCAGUAGGGAAUCUUCGGCAAUGGACGAAAGUCUGACCGAGCAACGCCGCGUGAGUGAAGAAGGUUUUCGGAUCGUAAAACUCUGUUGUUAGAGAAGAAUAAGGAUGAGAGUAACUGUUCAUCCCUUGACGGUAUCUAACCAGAAAGCCACGGCUAACUACGUGCCAGCAGCCGCGGUAAUACGUAGGUGGCAAGCGUUGUCCGGAUUUAUUGGGCGUAAAGCGAGCGCAGGCGGUUUCUUAAGUCUGAUGUGAAAGCCCCCGGCUCAACCGGGGAGGGUCAUUGGAAACUGGGAGACUUGAGUGCAGAAGAGGAGAGUGGAAUUCCAUGUGUAGCGGUGAAAUGCGUAGAUAUAUGGAGGAACACCAGUGGCGAAGGCGGCUCUCUGGUCUGUAACUGACGCUGAGGCUCGAAAGCGUGGGGAGCAAACAGGAUUAGAUACCCUGGUAGUCCACGCCGUAAACGAUGAGUGCUAAGUGUUGGAGGGUUUCCGCCCUUCAGUGCUGCAGCUAACGCAUUAAGCACUCCGCCUGGGGAGUACGACCGCAAGGUUGAACU
Molecule: ribosomal RNA, 875 nt
Filed under: Enterococcus faecium
Lineage: Bacteria; Bacillati; Bacillota; Bacilli; Lactobacillales; Enterococcaceae
Description: bacterial SSU rRNA
Rfam family: Bacterial small subunit ribosomal RNA
Source: RNAcentral